GAUGAACGCUGACAGAAUGCUUAACACAUGCAAGUCAACUUGAAUUUGGGUUUUUAACUUAGGUUUGGGUGGCGGACGGGUGAGUAACGCGUAAAGAACUUGCCUCACAGCUAGGGACAACAUUUGGAAACGAAUGCUAAUACCUAAUAUUAUGAUAAUAGGGCAUCCUAUAAUUAUGAAAGCUAUAAGCGCUGUGAGAGAGCUUUGCGUCCCAUUAGCUAGUUGGAGAGGUAACGGCUCACCAAGGCGAUGAUGGGUAGCCGGCCUGAGAGGGUGAUCGGCCACAAGGGGACUGAGACACGGCCCUUACUCCUACGGGAGGCAGCAGUGGGGAAUAUUGGACAAUGGACCGAGAGUCUGAUCCAGCAAUUCUGUGUGCACGAUGAAGUUUUUCGGAAUGUAAAGUGCUUUCAGUUGGGAAGAAACAAAUGACGGUACCAACAGAAGAAGUGGCGGCUAAAUACGUG
RNAcentral lists this ribosomal RNA (467 nucleotides) under uncultured bacterium. RNAcentral's name for it is "partial 16S ribosomal RNA". It matches the Rfam family "Bacterial small subunit ribosomal RNA", at positions 28 to 507 of the family's 1533-position model. The record is from RNAcentral.